Molecule: non-coding RNA, 134 nt
Organism: Triticum aestivum (bread wheat)
Lineage: Eukaryota; Viridiplantae; Streptophyta; Magnoliopsida; Poales; Poaceae
Source: Rfam
AUCAUACUCUCUCCGUCCGGAAAUACUUGUCAUCAAAAUGAAUAAAAGGGAUGUAUCUAGAUGUAUUUUAGUUCUAGAUACAUCAUUUUUUGUUCAUUUUAAUGACAAGUAUUUUCGGACGGAGGGAGUAUAUU